RNAcentral lists this ribosomal RNA (407 nucleotides) under uncultured bacterium. RNAcentral describes it as "bacterial SSU rRNA". It matches the Rfam family "Bacterial small subunit ribosomal RNA", at positions 131 to 518 of the family's 1533-position model. The record is from RNAcentral.
UAAAAGGGGGAGUAACGAUCCGGAAACGGGUGCGUAAUACCGCAUAGUUUUCUUGUAUCGCAUGAUUGAGAAAGGAAAGACGGCCUUUGUGCUGUCGCUUAUGGAUGGACCCGCGGCGUAUUAGUUAGUUGGUGAGGUAAUGGCUCACCAAGACGAUGAUACGUAGCCGACCUGAGAGGGUGAUCGGCCACAUUGGGACUGAGACACGGCCCAAACUCCUACGGGAGGCAGCAGUAGGGAAUCUUCCGCAAUGGACGAAAGUCUGACGGAGCAACGCCGCGUGAGUGAAAAGAAGGUUUUCGGAUCGUAAAACUCUGUUGUCAGAGAAGAACAAGUUGGAGAGUAACUGCUCCAGCCUUGACGGUAUCUGACCAGAAAGCCACGGCUAACUACGUGCCAGCCGCGGC